GUUUGCCCCAGAUUGAAAUGGAAAGCAUUUUGCAGUUUUGCUGCCUGAUUUUCUUAAAAUAAAAUAGCGACCAAAGGAAGCUCAUUUUAUUUUUUAGAAAAUGGCGCAAAACAAAAAAUCUUGGAAUGAAAAGCUGGAAAAAGG
Molecule: small RNA, 144 nt
Filed under: Flavobacterium dankookense
Lineage: Bacteria; Pseudomonadati; Bacteroidota; Flavobacteriia; Flavobacteriales; Flavobacteriaceae
Description: Flavo-1 RNA
Rfam family: Flavo-1 RNA
Source: RNAcentral